Molecule: ribosomal RNA, 467 nt
Filed under: uncultured bacterium
Lineage: Bacteria
Description: partial 16S ribosomal RNA
Rfam family: Bacterial small subunit ribosomal RNA
Source: RNAcentral
GACGAACGCUGGCGGCGUGCUUAACACAUGCAAGUCGAACGAUGACGACCGAGCUUGCUCGGUCUGAUUAGUGGCGAACGGGUGAGUAACACGUGAGCAACCUGCCCUUCACUCUGGGAUAACCUCGGGAAAUCGGGGCUAAUACCGGAUAUGAGCUCCUGUCGCAUGGCGGGUGUUGGAAAGUUUUUCGGUGAAGGAUGGGCUCGCGGCCUAUCAGUUUGUUGGUGAGGUAGUGGCUAACCAAGGCGAUGACGGGUAGCCGGCCUGAGAGGGCGACCGGCCACACUGGGACUGAGACACGGCCCAGACUCCUACGGGAGGCAGCAGUGGGGAAUAUUGCACAAUGGGCGAAAGCCUGAUGCAGCGACGCCGCGUGAGGGAUGACGGCCUUCGGGUUGUAAACCUCUUUCAGCAGGGAAGAAGCGAAAGUGACGGUACCUGCAGAAGAAGCGCCGGCUAACUACGUG